UACAGAGGGUGCUAGCGUUGUUCGGAAUCAUUGGGCGUAAAGGGCGUGUAGGCGGUUUGUUAAGUCAUGUGUGAAAUCCCUCGGCUCAACCGGGGAACGACGCAUGAAACUGGCAAGCUAGAGUACCAAAGAGGGGGGUGGAAUUCCCGGUGUAGCGGUGAAAUGCGUAGAGAUCGGGAGGAACAUCAGUUGCGAAGGCGGCUCUCUGGACCAGCACUGACACUGAGGCACGAAAGCGUGGGGAGCAAACAGG
Molecule: ribosomal RNA, 253 nt
Filed under: uncultured bacterium
Lineage: Bacteria
Description: partial 16S ribosomal RNA
Rfam family: Bacterial small subunit ribosomal RNA
Source: RNAcentral